UCCGGUUUGGCACCGGCAGUCUCCCUAGAGUUCCCGGCAUCACCCGCUGGCAACUAAGGACAGGGGUUGCGCUCGUUGAUGGACUUAACCAAACAUCUCACGACACGAGCUGACGACGGCCAUGCAACACCUGUCACUGUAUUCCCGAAGGCACAGUCUCCUUUCGGAGACCUUCACAGGAUGUCAAACCUUGGUAAGGUUCUUCGUUUACCAUCGAAUUAAACAACACGCUCCACCGCUUGUGCGGGUCCCCGUCAAUUCCUUUAUGUUUUAGUCUUGCGACCGUACUCCACAGGCGGGAUGCUUAACGCGUUAGCUUCGCUACUGCCCGGGUCGAUACGGGUAACAGCUAGCAUCCAUAGUUUACGGCGUGGACUAC
This 379-nucleotide unclassified non-coding RNA is filed under the name uncultured bacterium. RNAcentral's name for it is "contains 16S-23S intergenic spacer region". The record is from RNAcentral.